UUUAUUGACUUGGCCACCUGCCACAAAUGUCUGGGCACGCCUAUGAUCACAGCCAAAGUAUUUUAUUCAUCAGCAACCAAUACAAACUGUAUGUUCCAUAUUAAAUAGUUAUUAUUAUUUAAUCCACUGAGGGUAAUUUUCUUAUAUUUCAAAAAAGUUUAGAAAUUGUUCAACAUUCACGAUCUGUUACCCAUACUUCUACAACACAGCCUAAUGGUGAUAUUCUACAUAUGUAGGCAUUUAUGACUCAAGCUGCAUACUUACUGUUCAAUAUAUGAUUGUGGAAUGGGCAAUGGACAAUUAAUUGUACAACAGACCCAGGAAAACCUACUCAACUAUAAAUUAUGAUAACUCAACUAAAACAGUUCUGAUAUCUUCAACUCCAAAUCAUACGGAAUCUGCAGUCACAAGUUAUUUAGCCAUCUACGCAACUGUUGUUACUCUCACAACAUAUACUAUAAUGAUGAAAAUGAGCCCAUGCAUGCAGCGUUGCUGUUACUAACAGAAGUGUUUGAAGUAGACGAAUAACCUCAAUUGCUUCGAGAACAAUUUGUCAUGUUACUAUAUCAUAUUAUUAGAGAUUAGCUUAGUCAUGUAGUAUAAACUUGUUUUUUUAUUUUUAGUAAAUUUUUUAUUUUUGUUAAAUUUGUAUAAGAAAAACAAUUCUGAACGAAGAAGGUCAGUCAGCCUAUGA
RNAcentral lists this long non-coding RNA (694 nucleotides) under Acyrthosiphon pisum (pea aphid). Its description in RNAcentral is "uncharacterized LOC107882137, transcript variant X4". The record is from RNAcentral. Lineage: Eukaryota; Metazoa; Arthropoda; Insecta; Hemiptera; Aphididae.